Non-coding RNA from Phrynosoma platyrhinos (Desert horned lizard), 72 nucleotides. The record is from the annotation of a GenBank genome assembly. Lineage: Eukaryota; Metazoa; Chordata; Lepidosauria; Squamata; Phrynosomatidae.
GCCAGAGUGGUGUAGAGGUUUGAGCAUUGGACUAGGACUCUGGAGACCAGGGUUCAAAUCCCGGCUUGGCCA